Molecule: ribosomal RNA, 453 nt
Filed under: uncultured bacterium
Lineage: Bacteria
Description: bacterial SSU rRNA
Rfam family: Bacterial small subunit ribosomal RNA
Source: RNAcentral
UACGGAAGGCAGCAGUGGGGAAUAUUGCACAAUGGGCGCAAGCCUGAUGCAGCCAUGCCGCGUGUAUGAAAAAGGCCUUCGGGUUGUAAAGUACUUUCAGUCGUGAGGAAGGUGUUAAGGUUAAUAACCUUAGCAAUUGACGUUAGCGACAGAAGAAGCACCGGCUAACUCCGUGCCAGCAGCCGCGGUAAUACGGAGGGUGCGAGCGUUAAUCGGAAUUACUGGGCGUAAAGGGCACGCAGGCGGUUAAUUAAGUUGGAUGUGAAAUCCCCGGGCUUAACCUGGGAAUGGCAUUCAAGACUGGUUAGCUAGAGUCUUGUAGAGGGGGUAGAAUUCCAUGUGUAGCGGUGAAUGCGUAGAGAUGUGGAGGAAUACCGGUGGCGAAGGCGGCCCCUGGACAAAGACUGACGCUCAUGUGCGAAAGCGUGGGGAGCGAAACAGGGAUUAGAUACC